Molecule: ribosomal RNA, 253 nt
Filed under: uncultured bacterium
Lineage: Bacteria
Description: partial 16S ribosomal RNA
Rfam family: Bacterial small subunit ribosomal RNA
Source: RNAcentral
UACGGAGGAUCCGAGCGUUAUCCGGAUUUAUUGGGUUUAAAGGGUGCGUAGGCGGCCUAUUAAGUCAGGGGUGAAAGACGGUAGCUUAACUAUCGCAGUGCCUUUGAUACUGAUGGGCUUGAAUAUACUUGAGGUAGGCGGAAUGUGACAAGUAGCGGUGAAAUGCAUAGAUAUGUCACAGAACACCAAUUGCGAAGGCAGCUUACUAAAGUAUGAUUGACGCUGAGGCACGAAAGCGUGGGGAUCAAACAGG